AGUAGUCAUAGCUCGUCUCAAAGAUUAAGCCAUGCAUGUGUAAGUAUAACUAAUUGACUUUGAAGCUGCGAAUGGCUCAUUAUAUCAGUUAUAGUUUAUUUGGUGAAGGAUACUAAUUGGAUAACCGUAGUAAUUCUAGGGCUAAUACAUGAGUAAAGUCCCGUAGGGAUGUGUUUAUUAGAAUGAAAACCAUAUGCUUCGGCAUGAUAGUGAGUAAUAGUAACCUAUCGUAUCGCAUGCUAUAAGUAGCGAUGAGUCUUUCAAGUUUCUGCCCUAUCAGCUU
This 283-nucleotide ribosomal RNA is filed under the name Blastocystis sp. RNAcentral's name for it is "partial small subunit ribosomal RNA". It matches the Rfam family "Eukaryotic small subunit ribosomal RNA", at positions 19 to 321 of the family's 1831-position model. The record is from RNAcentral. Lineage: Eukaryota; Bigyra; Opalinata; Blastocystidae.